GACGAACGCUGGCGGCGUGCUUAACACAUGCAAGUCGAACGGAAAGGCCCUGCUUUUGUGGGGUGCUCGAGUGGCGAACGGGUGAGUAACACGUGAGUAACCUGCCCUUGACUUUGGGAUAACUUCAGGAAACUGGGGCUAAUACCGGAUAGGAGCUCCUGCUGCAUGGUGGGGGUUGGAAAGUUUCGGCGGUUGGGGAUGGACUCGCGGCUUAUCAGCUUGUUGGUGGGGUAGUGGCUUACCAAGGCUUUGACGGGUAGCCGGCCUGAGAGGGUGACCGGCCACAUUGGGACUGAGAUACGGCCCAGACUCCUACGGGAGGCAGCAGUGGGGAAUAUUGCACAAUGGGCGGAAGCCUGAUGCAGCAACGCCGCGUGCGGGAUGACGGCCUUCGGGUUGUAAACCGCUUUCGCCUGUGACGAAGCGUGAGUGACGGUAAUGGGUAAAGAAGCACCGGCUAACUACGUGCCAGCAGCCGCGGUGAUACGUAGGGUGCGAGCGUUGUCCGGAUUUAUUGGGCGUAAAGGGCUCGUAGGUGGUUGAUCGCGUCGGAAGUGUAAUCUUGGGGCUUAACCCUGAGCGUGCUUUCGAUACGGGUUGACUUGAGGAAGGUAGGGGAGAAUGGAAUUCCUGGUGGAGCGGUGGAAUGCGCAGAUAUCAGGAGGAACACCAGUGGCGAAGGCGGUUCUCUGGGCCUUUCCUGACGCUGAGGAGCGAAAGCGUGGGGAGCGAACAGGCUUAGAUACUCUGGUAGUCCACGCUGUAAACGGUGGGUACUAGGUGUGGGGUCCAUUCCACGGGUUCCGUGCCGUAGCUAACGCUUUAAGUACCCCGCCUGGGGAGUACGGCCGCAAGGCUAAAACUCAAAGGAAUUGACGGGGCCCCGCACAAGCGGCGGAGCAUGCGGAUUAAUUCGAUGCAACGCGUAGAACCUUACCUGGGUUUGACAUGGAUCGGGAGUGCUCAGAGAUGGGUGUGCCUCUUUUGGGGUCGGUUCACAGGUGGUGCAUGCCUGUCGUCAGCUCGUGUCGUGAGAUGUUGGGUUAAGUCCCGCAACGAGCGCAACCCUUGUUCACUGUUGCCAGCACGUUAUGGUGGGGACUCAGUGGAGACCGCCGGGGUCAACUCGGAGGAAGGUGGGGAUGACGUCAAGUCAUCAUGCCCCUUAUGUCCAGGGCUUCACGCAUGCUACAAUGGCUGGUACAGAGAGUGGCGAGCCUGUGAGGGUGAGCGAAUCUCGGAAAGCCGGUCUCAGUUCGGAUUGGGGUCUGCAACUCGACCUCAUGAAGUCGGAGUCGCUAGUAAUCGCAGAUCAGCAACGCUGCGGUGAAUACGUUCCCGGGACU
This 1346-nucleotide ribosomal RNA is filed under the name uncultured bacterium. Its description in RNAcentral is "partial 16S ribosomal RNA". It matches the Rfam family "Bacterial small subunit ribosomal RNA", at positions 28 to 1381 of the family's 1533-position model. The record is from RNAcentral.